RNAcentral lists this long non-coding RNA (828 nucleotides) under Eucalyptus grandis. RNAcentral describes it as "long non-coding RNA (EGRA_LNC002974)". The record is from RNAcentral. Lineage: Eukaryota; Viridiplantae; Streptophyta; Magnoliopsida; Myrtales; Myrtaceae.
UAUUGAUUGCUUAGCAAUCGAUGGUAUCCUAAAGAUUACUAUUUCUAUGAAAUCAACGCAUUGAGUCCUACCCCUGCUCUUCAACUUUCAGCAAGCGUGCCUUUGAAAGUGAAUCGCCUCCACAUCAUUACCAUUAGAGUGGUCACUCCUCUCAAACUUGUUGGAUCAUGUAGUGCUCAUGGUCGACUAAUGUAUUAAGAUAUACGUUCACAGAUUGGUUUUGUGCUGGUGCUUUAUCACAGGCGAUGUGCUUUUUGGGUCUUAAUUACAGGCAAUGUGAUUUCUGGGUCUUAACUAUAGGUGAUUAAGUUUCUGGGUCUUAACUACAGGUGAUUAAGUUUCUGGGCCUUGUCACCUAGUGAAGCGUGACCAUAGUAUUUUGAUAGGAGCAAUGAGUUUGAUAUCUAUAUCCAUUUAUGAUAUUGAAAUGGCUUGUGAGAAGCCGUAUUGCAUGCAAGCUUAAGUGUGAUUUUCAUGUACGGCAUAAUUAUUGUAAGUUGCAUAAUUCAUUACUCGAUCCCAUAGAAGUGGUGAUUGUCACUUACUGAGCCAGGAUUUUACUCAUCCCCUUAUAUUUCCAUUUAGGUUUCGAGAAUGGAGGAGGGUGACGAAUUUAUGAAGAACGCAUGAUGGGGCUGGUUUCUUCAUUUUGCUAUUUGAAUCAAUCUUAUUAGACUGAAUUUACAAAAUUCAUAAUAUGGUAAAUUCAUGGUAUUUUGGACCUUAUGGUUUUCCAUCUAAUGCAAGGUUUUGUCCGGUUAGGACCUUUCUUGUGAAAUGAUUCAUUUUGAUUAAGCCCUUCGUGCUUUUAUUCAUGAAAAAUGGCCG